This 256-nucleotide ribosomal RNA is filed under the name uncultured bacterium. RNAcentral describes it as "partial 16S ribosomal RNA". It matches the Rfam family "Bacterial small subunit ribosomal RNA", at positions 524 to 776 of the family's 1533-position model. The record is from RNAcentral.
UACGGAGGGGGCUAGCGUUGUUCGGAAUUACUGGGCGUAAAGCGCGCGUAGGCGGAAUGUUAAGUCAGGGGUGAAAUCCCGGGGCUCAACCCCGGAACUGCCUUUGAUACUGGCAUUCUCGAGUCCGGAAGAGGUGGAGUGGAAUUCCGUGGGUGUAGCGGUGGAAUGCGCAGAUAUCAGGAGGAACAUCCGUGGCGAAGGCGGCUCUCUGGGACGGUACUGACGCUGAGACGCGAAAGCGUGGGGAGCGAACAGG